AUAAUAUUGUAAUUAAAUUAAAAUUAGAUAAUACGCAUUUAAUUAUGCAUCUAAAUGUGACGAAGAUUAUGUUUUUUAAACAUCACACGCACGCCAGUCAAUAGCUCCGUUUAAAUCUCGAUGAGGAUACCGAUAACGAAAGCGAAAUAUAUAUAACGUAACUUGUCAAGAGAAGUGUCUGCAUUUACGGAUGUCAAAAAAGAUUUGUUUAGCGGUAAAGUGGAAAGUGAAGGUACACCAGUGCAUGUUGGCAAUGACGUUUUCUCGCUCAGAUACAACAUUUCCUUCUAUCAUUCAGACGUAUGCACAUAUAUACGGCUGCACGAAAUUUAUCUUGGUAAUAAAAGCAUAAAUAUAGAAUGUGAGAGAACUAAUUAAUAUGUAAUUAUUUAUUGGAUCGAGAAUAUUUGUAUUUAUAUAUUUCCUUGAUCGCAUGACGUUAUUGAUAAAAAUAUCAGCCAUAAAGAGAGAAUUGUAAAGAGAAGACUAAGAAAAGAUGCCGAAGAAUGCUCCUUGAAGGAUACUAUCGACCUAAAGAAAAAAAAUAAAGAAAAAGACAAAAAUGACAUGUCAGUAAUGACCUGCUAGAACUGGUCAGACCGAGAGAAGCCAGACUAUCAAGUCAAUAUACACUUCAAGAAUCCAACAGACAAUCGUCUGGGAAUUUCGUAAUUUUUGAAAGCGACUGCUGCUAGAUACGGACGAUAUGUCAAGUAUUGCUGCGCGAGUGGGAAAAGGAAUUUUAUCAAGAUCAACAAAAAUUUAAAUUAGAAUUUCGUAAUAUCCGGAAAACGACUAUUACAUGUUGAAUAAUAUCGAAAUGUCAAAGAGAAAUGUCGCGUGGCGCCAAGCGAGAAUUUUAAACAAUUUCUCUCAUUUUCUGACUUUCUCAGAUGCAUAUAAUCUGAUCUCUCAGAACAGGAACAAAUUAACAGAGAGAAAGGUGAUCGAUGUAGGGAAUAAGCGAGGGCG
This 972-nucleotide long non-coding RNA is filed under the name Camponotus floridanus (Florida carpenter ant). RNAcentral describes it as "uncharacterized LOC109610106, transcript variant X1". The record is from RNAcentral. Lineage: Eukaryota; Metazoa; Arthropoda; Insecta; Hymenoptera; Formicidae.